This 642-nucleotide ribosomal RNA is filed under the name Triticum aestivum (bread wheat). Its description in RNAcentral is "partial small subunit ribosomal RNA". The record is from RNAcentral. Lineage: Eukaryota; Viridiplantae; Streptophyta; Magnoliopsida; Poales; Poaceae.
AUGAAGAAACAUUGUGCAUGCAAGAUUUGUGGAGAAAUGGGACACACCCAUGAAGAACACAAGGGUGAAUGCCCUCAUUGUGAAGAGAGUCACCCAGCUGAAGAAUGCCCAACUAGGCAGAUUACUUGUUUCUUGUGUGAAGGGCCUACCCACUACCUUGCUCAGUGUCACAUUUACCCCAUGGUACAACGAACCAUCCAGCAGAAGAAAGAAGCAAUGAAAGAAGCCCUCAUGGAAAUUUUAGAAGAACCAAUGAUGAAGGAAGAGGUGGAGGACACACCCAAAGAAGACCCAAUUAAAACAUGCACUAAGUCAUGCUAUUCAUGUGGAGAAGAAGGACACAUCUCCCAAAAUUGUCUGAAUGGGGAUCUAGUAGAAUUCUCGAUAGAGGAAGUAGAGUAUGACCUACAGGAAAUAGAAGCCCGGAUUGGCACAGAAAAGUCCAGGAAGAGAAGUAGAUUGGAUACCAGGAAGGACCUGACUCAUAUCACCUAUUUCAGGUGCAAGGAGUCAGGGCACUACUUCAGCAGUUGCCCAAAAAGGAAACCUCGAGACUUGUCAGAAGUAAUAUGUUUUCGUUGUAAUGAAGCAGGGCACCUUGCCGGAGAUUGUCCCAAGGAGAAAGAGACUUGUGAUAAUUAG